GGCACGGAGAUCAUCCUCACCUGGGGGAUGCUCCAGAGCUGGAGGAGCUCCAGGCGGCUGACAGCCACGUGCCAGAGACACCUCAACACGGAUGCUUGUGACGAUGCCAGGAGGCAGCAGGGACCGACAGUGCCAAUCCUGCAGGUUUUGGGUGCAGAGAAAUGGCAUCGCUCGUCCAAGACGGGGAUAUGAAAGCACCUUCUGUCUGCACAGCCAAUUUGGCUGCCUGUGUUCCCCCCAGGGCUCUGCUCACCGGCUGUCUCCACGGCAUGCAUAUGAGCUCCCUCCUGUCUCUGCUCUGGAGCAAACCAACUGGUUUCUCCCAAGAAGAAACCUCGGCACGACUGACAGGCUGCUUUUUCCAGGGUUGCCCAGACAGAAAAACCUGUCAUGAGCUGGACCAGGCUCUACCUUGGACAGUCCUCCAAACAUCUCAGGAGACCUCAUGCCCACUGACCUUCACGCCACGAUGCAGAACACACGACACCUUCGUGUCCUUCUGUGGACGUGCAGUUCUGGCAGUGCCUUUCAUUAUCUGGAGAAUUUCAAACUAGCACAAAAAAAAGAAGUCCAGGAUGUGAUCAUUAUUGACCCAGGUUCUGUGGAGCUCUGCAGGGAGCUCAGGAAAGACCUUUGCCAAGCGUGACCAUGGCUUGUGCCCUUCAGAGAGUGCUUGGUGGGGUGGACGCGAGCCAGUCCGUAGCAAUGAGCCUACACGUUAAUGUGACCUCCGAGGCAUUUUCCACCGCGACAACAUGUACAGAAGCUUUGCCAGGUAGCCAACACUCACUGUUCUCUUCUCUUCUCCCUAGGACUAUUUCUGGGCUUUGCAAACCUCUGCUUCCCUGUGGCUCAGUGCUCCGGCAGCAAGGUGGCGGGGACCCUCCUGAGUGGCAGAGAUGGUGGGAAAAGCAGCAAUGGCCACAUGGAGGCAAAACAGGCAAAACCUGUGUUGGUGUUGUGCCCUGCCAGGAGAGCCAGGGCCCACCACGUCCUGCGUGCGUGAGGGUCUGUGCUUCACGGCUAAAAGGCGGCUCCAAAGCUUUCAUGCUGCUCGUCACGGGGGUGCUGCUGGAGCAUCCAAAACGUGUUUGCAAUGCAGCCUGCCUUCCCUCACCGGCAAUAAAAGCCCUCAUAAAAACGUUCCAGUAUGUCUCUGCAAAGUGAGUACGUGAACAUGGGUUUGUAAGAGCAGAGCGAGAACUGGCUGAGGAGGAACCUGGCAGACACCGGACGAACAACGCAUACAGGAACCUCAAGGCACAGCCAUCAGGUCAGCCGGCUUUAUUUUAACCUGCCAUAAUGUUUAAAAGUGACGUGUUAUUUUUGUAACCUUGAUUUGGGGAUUUCUCACCUGAGACUUUUAUACGAGACCACUGCUCUGAAAACACUUGUUCACCUCCUGAUAAAAAAAAAUAAAAUUUUUAAAAAAGAGAAUCAGCCCCCCAAAAUGUUUCAGUCUAAGCACCCAAAACUAAUGGUCAGUCUUGAAAAUUUGGGGCGUGGAAACGAUCAGGGAUGGGCAAUAAAACACUCCACUUCUUGUGCAAGUGCGUGUUCCCAUGGGGCCCAACCAGGUGCCUGCGGGGGCCGAUUUCCCAAGCAGGGCAAGAUUUUUCUGAGCAGUCCAGGCACAUCUCGUUACAUCCAGCAAGAGAGCUUGAAAUGGGUGCAAAUUUGCUUGGAUCACUUUGCUUAUCCAGCUGUUGCCUUGGGGUGGGUGUCCCGCUGCAAGGAGUCAUGUAAAUGUGUAGAGCCAAGUGCUGGGACCUGAACUCACUCAGACAACACAACCUGGGACAGAUGGGAAAGAUUUUAUGCCUUGGUGAGUACAAACUCCAGGCUGGCUGGGGUGAUAUCAGUGGAUCCACCAGCACGACCUCCAGAACUAGACUCCCCAUGGUUUCUUGGUCAUUCUUAUCCUUCUCCAGCAUCUCCAGUAACAACACAUCAGCAGCUCCCUUGGUUGUCUGAGCAGAAAUCUCCCCUGCGCAGGCUGUUAUUAAAUUCUCUUAUGUCUUCAUUAGAUAUCAGAUGUGAUGAAAGAAGGUGACAUCUCCAGGGAAAUAUUGUAUGGGGUGUGGGGACGGGCUGUUAAUGUACUGGGGGAGACAGAGUGUCUGCAAAUGUAAUGAUCUUCUAAUGCCCUGAUGUAAGUACCGAGAUCCAGAUCUUUCUUUUUUCUUUUCUUUUCUUUUUUUUUUUUCUCCAAAAAGCAAAAUGUACUUGAGGGGUGUAUAGCAAAAGGCACUUAUCUCUUUCCUCUUGCCCAACUCUGUUUUCUCUCUGCCUACUUGUCCCCCCUUUUUUAAGGAUGUUUUUGGUGUCUUUGCUUUUUAUUAUUUUGCCAUUCUUCAAUCUUCAUCCUUUAUGUCUUAGCUGUUGGCACGACUGAUGAGUUCUGCUUUCUCCGUGACAGCUUUGUUUCAAAGAAAAAUGGCAAAAUCACUGCAUAAUCAGCAUGUGAUUUUUUUUUUUUUUGAUUAAAAAAGGAGAGAAGAAGAUGGAUGCAGACUGUGGGGGCAAUCCCUGCUGCUUUGCUUCUGCACAUUGGAGUUUGCAAAGAGGAUGAGAAGGGAGGUAGAUGGGAACUGCUGCCACUGGGCUGGGCUCAGAGCUCCCCGGUACCUUCCCGUGCAGAACAGGUAAUUUACAUAUCCUGCUAUUUUCAUCAGCAGCUCUAAGCCUCUUGAGGACAGUCCUUGGCAUGUCCCAUUCCUGCAGCAACACCAGAGCUGCCCUGACCUGGUGCUGGUGCCAGCCCUGCUUUGAGGCCACGAGCUGGACCAGAGGUCCCCAGAGGUCACUUGCAACCACCUUUUCUGUGAUUUUGUGAGCCAGCGCUGUGAAAGACUUCUUUUAUCUCACCCAGCA
Molecule: long non-coding RNA, 2874 nt
Organism: Anas platyrhynchos (mallard)
Lineage: Eukaryota; Metazoa; Chordata; Aves; Anseriformes; Anatidae
Source: RefSeq, a predicted model, not a curated record